RNAcentral lists this unclassified non-coding RNA (233 nucleotides) under Hevea brasiliensis (rubber tree). Lineage: Eukaryota; Viridiplantae; Streptophyta; Magnoliopsida; Malpighiales; Euphorbiaceae. The record is from RNAcentral.
AAGUUAAAAUAGUUAGCAUACUACUAAUAAACAAUAAUAACAUAAUAUUUUAAUGGACAGUGUGCAGAGGAACUACACAACCCCUCCAAAGAAAAGAGAAAGCAGAGCAGGGCAGUACAAAAGCCAACAUGCACACUAGAGGGUCACCAUGGGCGUAUGAAAUUUCAUGUUAAAACAAAGCAAACAUGGCAAAACAUCAGCCCAAAGCUUACAGAUGCACAAAGAGAGUUGAG